RNAcentral lists this ribosomal RNA (787 nucleotides) under uncultured bacterium. Its description in RNAcentral is "bacterial SSU rRNA". It matches the Rfam family "Bacterial small subunit ribosomal RNA", at positions 8 to 792 of the family's 1533-position model. The record is from RNAcentral.
AGAGUUUGAUCAUGGCUCAGAUUGAACGCUGGCGGCAUGCCUUACACAUGCAAGUCGAACGGUAACAGGUCUUCGGAUGCUGACGAGUGGCGAACGGGUGAGUAAUACAUCGGAACGUGCCCGAUCGUGGGGGAUAACGAGGCGAAAGCUUUGCUAAUACCGCAUACGAUCUACGGAUGAAAGCGGGGGAUCUUCGGACCUCGCGCGGACGGAGCGGCCGAUGGCAGAUUAGGUAGUUGGUGGGAUAAAAGCUUACCAAGCCGACGAUCUGUAGCUGGUCUGAGAGGAUGAUCAGCCACACUGGGACUGAGACACGGCCCAGACUCCUACGGGAGGCAGCAGUGGGGAAUUUUGGACAAUGGGCGAAAGCCUGAUCCAGCCAUGCCGCGUGCAGGAUGAAGGCCUUCGGGUUGUAAACUGCUUUUGUACGGAACGAAAAGCCUCUUUCUAAUAAAGAGGGGUCAUGACGGUACCGUAAGAAUAAGCACCGGCUAACUACGUGCCAGCAGCCGCGGUAAUACGUAGGGUGCAAGCGUUAAUCGGAAUUACUGGGCGUAAAGCGUGCGCAGGCGGUUUUGUAAGACAGAGGUGAAAUCCCCGGGCUCAACCUGGGAACUGCCUUUGUGACUGCAAGGCUGGAGUGCGGCAGAGGGGGAUGGAAUUCCGCGUGUAGCAGUGAAAUGCGUAAAUAUGCGGAGGAACACCGAUGGCGAAGGCAAUCCCCUGGGCCUGCACUGACGCUCAUGCACGAAAGCGUGGGGAGCAAACAGGAUUAGAUACCCCGGUA